UGGGGAAUUUUGGACAAUGGGGGCAACCCUGAUCCAGCCAUGCCGCGUGAGUGAAGAAGGCCUUCGGGUUGUAAAGCUCUUUCAGGUGGAAAGAAAUCUCCCGGGUGAAUACCCUGGGAGGAUGACGGUACCAUCAGAAGAAGCACCGGCUAACUACGUGCCAGCAGCCGCGGUAAUACGUAGGGUGCGAGCGUUAAUCGGAAUUACUGGGCGUAAAGCGUGCGCAGGCGGUUGUGUAAGACAGAUGUGAAAUCCCCGGGCUCAACCUGGGAACUGCGUUUGUGACUGCACAACUAGAGUACGGCAGAGGGAGGUGGAAUUCCGCGUGUAGCAGUGAAAUGCGUAGAGAUGCGGAGGAACACCGAUGGCGAAGGCAGCCUCCUGGGCCAGUACUGACGCUCAUGCACGAAAGCGUGGGGAGCAAACAGG
Molecule: ribosomal RNA, 429 nt
Filed under: uncultured bacterium
Lineage: Bacteria
Description: bacterial SSU rRNA
Rfam family: Bacterial small subunit ribosomal RNA
Source: RNAcentral